Molecule: long non-coding RNA, 1639 nt
Filed under: Olea europaea subsp. europaea
Lineage: Eukaryota; Viridiplantae; Streptophyta; Magnoliopsida; Lamiales; Oleaceae
Source: RNAcentral
GAAGAAUCAAUAGUACAAUCAGUAAUUGAACAAUUGGCAGCCAGCUUGCAGUAACAGAAUGAGAAUUCUCUAGAAGAAGGAAGAGGAAUUUUUGUGUUAGUUAGGGAAUUUGUUGAGAGAACGUGUUUGUAAAUUAUUCCUUCUAGAAUAGCCUAUUUUUGUGUAUAUAUACUGUGAUAUUCUGUACAGUUUUGCAAGCAGAAAAAUCAAUACAAUUAUUUACUUCAUUUAUGCCCCAAUCAUUCAGCUAAUUUUCUUUGUUAUAAACUCAUUUCUAAAAUCAUGUCUUUGGACUCCUCAACCCCCUUAAAUGCAGGAUAUAUUUAAAUCAGUCCAGUCUUCUUAUCUCCCUUAUGCCACUGCUCAAACACCCUUCAAGCUGUCCAAAAGCAUGAAUUACUCUUUCUGUAAAACCCAAUUUACCAAUUCCCUAUUUGGUUACAAUCCCAUAUACGUUGAUGGCUCGUUUCCUUGCCCCGAUACAAUUAUUCCAGAGACAGGAGAAACAAAAUAAAAAAUUAAUCAAGAACACAAGCUUUGAUUGAGAUAACACUGCCUUGUGUUGCUGGCCAUUCAAGUAUCAAUCAACAAUCAUAAACGGGGCGAAAAUGCUGCUAAAGGUUGAAAACUGGAGACUACAAUUGCCAAUAAAUUGAAAAGCUGGGUGCCUUGACGAGACCACCAAUGAGGGACAACUGGUUGGUGAGUUAUUAUAGACGAUUUUGCUAUGAUCAGCACCCUAUUACAGAUGCCAAAUAAUCUCUCGUGUUUUAGAAGCUCGCUUCGAGAUCUUUGAAAUGGUCAUUUUCGAGCUCACUUUCAUGUUACCUUUUUCUACCAAACAACCAAUCCAAACGGAUCGUCGGUUUUGACCAGUGGCGGAUCUAGGUGGUGGCGAGCGGUUGCCCUAGCUGGAUUCACCGUAACCACCGUCCGCUGGAAUGUAGCAGAGACAGACGUUGAGACACAAGGAAGAAAGAAGAAGAGGAAGAGAGGAAGAGAGGAUUUGGGUUGGCUCAAUAUGUGAUGACAGACUUGGGCUGCUGGGUAGUUGGACUUAGUGGGGGGAGGGGGAGGGCUUUUUUUCUUUAACAAGGCAGGCCCAAUUGCUCAAAUAUCAAAUGAAUGAAAAUGGAAAUCUUCUCCUAAUCUCCUUCCCAUCAAACCGCAGUAGAGAGAAGCAAAUUGGAAACCAUUCUUGAGUGAUGUUUCCCCCAAUUCCUUUCGCUCAAUUCCUUACCAAAAGCUCUCCACGCAGGCACGCACCGACGCACGUUCCAGUUUCAGCAAAUCUUUUUGAUCGACAACUCUGCUAUGUGAUUUGUAAAGUCCUGAGUUCGUCGUAGGUAUUGGCUAUUUUCUGGCUUAAAUAUUACACGCCCACAGGCCACAAAUGCAUAUGAAGUAGUUUAAUUUUCCAGUUUUCCGUUAGUUUAAUUUUCUAGUUUUUUUCCUGAUAACAGAUUCUUUGUUGAGCGAGGUUUAAAAAAUUGGAAAUCAAAUUGUUUCAUGAAGUGGACAGUAGAUUAAUAGUUUAAUUUUCCAGUUUUGGGUUAGUUGUUGGUAGUUUCAUUGCGUGCUCUUUAGUUUGAAUGAUCUGAUUGAUUGGAAAAUUUAUUAUGUGAUUAUGCAAAUGUAG